UAGAUACCCUGGUAGUCCACGCCGUAAACGAUGCUAACUCGUUUUUGGGGCUUUAAGCUUCAGAGACUAAGCGAAAGUGAUAAGUUAGCCACCUGGGGAGUACGAACGCAAGUUUGAAACUCAAAGGAAUUGACGGGGGCCCGCACAAGCGGUGGAUUAUGUGGUUUAAUUCGAUGAUACGCGAGGAACCUUACCAAGGCUUAAAUGGAAAUUGACAGGCUCAGAAAUGGGUUUUUCUUCGGACAAUUUU
Molecule: ribosomal RNA, 250 nt
Filed under: uncultured bacterium
Lineage: Bacteria
Description: partial 16S ribosomal RNA
Rfam family: Bacterial small subunit ribosomal RNA
Source: RNAcentral